Molecule: non-coding RNA, 219 nt
Organism: Schizosaccharomyces pombe (fission yeast)
Lineage: Eukaryota; Fungi; Ascomycota; Schizosaccharomycetes; Schizosaccharomycetales; Schizosaccharomycetaceae
Source: the annotation of a GenBank genome assembly
UUUUCUCAUUGUUAAGCUAGUGAAAAUGUAAAUUUAUUUCUUACAUCCUGUUGCUCUUUCAUUUUUUCUUCCUAAUGUAUUUUAGUUGCUUUUUUAAACCCAAUGAGAACAAAGGCUUAAAGUAAAUAUAUAUAAUUUUCACAUGUUCAACAGUUUACCGUUAACAAAUGCACGGACCUUGAUUAUGAUUAAUGGUUGAAUGAAAAAUAUCAACUUUCC